UUAAUAUUCCCUCCGUUUCAAAAUUCUUGUCUUAAAUUUGUCUAGAUAUGGAUGUACCUAACACUAAAACGUAACUAGAUACAUCCGUAUUUAGGCAUCUAAGACAAGAAUUUUGGGACGGAGGGAGUACAUC
Molecule: non-coding RNA, 133 nt
Organism: Triticum aestivum (bread wheat)
Lineage: Eukaryota; Viridiplantae; Streptophyta; Magnoliopsida; Poales; Poaceae
Source: Rfam